This 278-nucleotide long non-coding RNA is filed under the name Phasianus colchicus (ring-necked pheasant). RNAcentral describes it as "lncRNA (ENSPCLG00000003146.1)". Lineage: Eukaryota; Metazoa; Chordata; Aves; Galliformes; Phasianidae. The record is from RNAcentral.
CAAAUCCUAGGUUUCUAGGGCACUUUUAACAGCUGCAGAGUGUACAAGUAGGUUAAUGUAACCUCAGAUUUGCCUUUCAUACCCUUGUCAUGUUAACAGCAGACUGCUGACCUCAACUGGGGACUCCUGAUUUUUCCGAUGUAUCUGUGAUGGAUGGAGAAUGAAGCAGACCCAUGUCAUGUAUGAAACAGGAAGAAGUGGCAUAGUUACGUGGUUAAGGGCACUGGAGCCUGAUUUUCACAAAGACAGCUGAAGUCAAUAAAACCUGCAGAUGUGGG